AAAGAGACUUAAUAUGGAGCCAG
Molecule: non-coding RNA, 23 nt
Filed under: Cricetulus griseus (Chinese hamster)
Lineage: Eukaryota; Metazoa; Chordata; Mammalia; Rodentia; Cricetidae
Source: RNAcentral